Molecule: ribosomal RNA, 462 nt
Filed under: uncultured bacterium
Lineage: Bacteria
Description: bacterial SSU rRNA
Rfam family: Bacterial small subunit ribosomal RNA
Source: RNAcentral
UCCAGACUCCUACGGGAGGCAGCAGUGGGGAAUAUUGCACAAUGGGGGGAACCCUGAUGCAGCGACGCCGCGUGGGUGAAGGAGCACCUCGGUGCGUAAAGCCCUAUCGGCAGGGAAGAAAAGCGAACAGGUUCGCUUGGACGGUACCUGACUAAGAAGCCCCGGCUAACUACGUGCCAGCAGCCGCGGUAAUACGUAGGUGGCAAGCGUUGUCCGGAUUUACUGGGUGUAAAGGGCGUGUAGCCGGGUUGACAAGUCAGAUGUGAAAUCCUGCGGCUUAACCGCAGAACUGCAUUUGAAACUGUUGAUCUUGAGUACUGGAGAGGCAGACGGAAUUCCUAGUGUAGCGGUGAAAUGCGUAGAUAUUAGGAGGAACACCAGUGGCGAAGGCGGUCUGCUGGACAGCAACUGACGGUGAGGCGCGAAAGCGUGGGUAGCGAACGGGAUUAGAUACCCCAGUAC